RNAcentral lists this long non-coding RNA (387 nucleotides) under Rattus norvegicus (Norway rat). Its description in RNAcentral is "long non-coding RNA NONRATT008237". The record is from RNAcentral. Lineage: Eukaryota; Metazoa; Chordata; Mammalia; Rodentia; Muridae.
GGCGGCGGCAGGCAGCCCACUAACUCAACAGGCCUCUGGUUCUCCAAGACCUAAGCCUAGCGGAAAGUUUCACCUUGUGGAAGGAAAUUUCCAUUUCUCUUUCCAGCCCCCUAUUACUCCCCCAAGGACUACGCAGCAGACAUCCGGGACUGUCCCUGGGGCUAGCUGUCUGCUGGCCCUGCUAGUUAGCGGGCUCCUCCUCCUCUUCCUCUUCUUCCUCUUCCUCCUCUUCCUCCUCUUCCUCCUCCUCCUUGGAGUCUGUACCCUCUUUAGGAGAUGCUUCUGUUUCCCUUCACUAGGAGGGAUGUUCUCAGAGAUCCCCAGACACUACAGGAUUUGACUUCCAUAAUCUGUGUUCUAGAUUAUAUAAUGGCACUGUCCCCACUG